This 467-nucleotide ribosomal RNA is filed under the name uncultured bacterium. RNAcentral describes it as "partial 16S ribosomal RNA". It matches the Rfam family "Bacterial small subunit ribosomal RNA", at positions 29 to 507 of the family's 1533-position model. The record is from RNAcentral.
ACACACGCUGGCGGCGUGCUUCACACAUGCAAGUCGAACGGAAAGGCCCUGCUUUUGUGGGGUGCUCGAGUGGCGAACGGGUGAGUAACACGUGAGUAACCUGCCCUUGACUUUGGGAUAACUUCAGGAAGCUGGGGCUAAUACCGGAUAGGAGCUCCUGCUGCAUGGUGGGGGUUGGAAAGUUUCGGCGGUUGGGGAUGGACUCGCGGCUUAUCAGCUUGUUGGUGGGGUAGUGGCUUACCAAGGCUUUGACGGGUAGCCGGCCUGAGAGGGUGACCGGCCACAUUGGGACUGAGAUACGGCCCAGACUCCUACGGGAGGCAGCAGUGGGGAAUAUUGCACAAUGGGCGGAAGCCUGAUGCAGCAACGCCGCGUGCGGGAUGACGGCCUUCGGGUUGUAAACCGCUUUCGCCUGUGACGAAGCGUGAGUGACGGUAAUGGGUAAAGAAGCACCGGCUAACUACGUG